GAAAGAAGCUAAAAAGCGGCAACGGCUUGCUGAUGACUUCACUAAAUUAUUGUAUACUUACAAGGUAAGGAAAUGUUGUGCAUAGUCCUGUCUUCUGUCUCUAUUGGAGCCUACUAGGGUUAUGAUGUCUUGCAGGAGAUAACUGCAUCUUCUAGUUGGGAUGAUUCCAAACAACUUUUUGAAGAAAGCCAGGAGUAUAGAUCAAUUGGGGAAGAGAGUUUUAGCAGAGAGAUUUUUGAAGAAUAUGUUGCACACUUGCAGGAAAAGGCUAAAGAGAAGGAACGCAAACGCGAGGAAGAAAAGGUGCCUACAUUUUUCCUUGUACUUGAGAAGUCUGUGGGAGUCUGGCUGUUUGCUGCCUUGGCAAUCUUUUUGUGUUCUUCCUUGGCUUGAAUGCGGCAUCUUGUGUUCAGUAUAAAAGAUUUUUCCAGAAUUCAGUUCUUUAUCUGUUUUACUAUCAACAGGCCAAAAAGGAGAAAGAGAGGGAGGAAAAAGAGAAGCG
This 502-nucleotide unclassified non-coding RNA is filed under the name Hevea brasiliensis (rubber tree). The record is from RNAcentral. Lineage: Eukaryota; Viridiplantae; Streptophyta; Magnoliopsida; Malpighiales; Euphorbiaceae.